Molecule: long non-coding RNA, 17097 nt
Filed under: Triticum aestivum (bread wheat)
Lineage: Eukaryota; Viridiplantae; Streptophyta; Magnoliopsida; Poales; Poaceae
Description: long non-coding RNA (TAES_LNC012713)
Source: RNAcentral
AUCACUUGGUUUGUAGCGGAUUUUCACCUGGAUAUACUGUUUGGGGUUGCCAUGGGGAAACAGCAUCAUUCAUCUCUGCUAACAAACAAGGUGAAACUCCAACACACAUGAGAAGUAACAAAAGGUCACUAUCACAGUUUGAAGGAACAAAAUCUAAUAUGCAUCAGUUAGUGGAAGAUGUUUUCUGUGGAUCUCCAACGAUAGAACCUGAAGCCCAAAAUACGUCUAAACCAGGACCAUACCCUGAUUCACAAGCUUUCUAUGACCUUUUGAGAGAUGCAGAUCAACCUUUAUGGCCAGGCUGCGAACUAUCCAUCCUUUCUCUUGUUGUUAUUCUCUUCCACAUAAAAGCCACUAACAAGUGGAGCAAUAAAUCUUUAAAUGAUUUGCUAGCAGUUCUGCAGAAAGCAAUUCCUAAUGGUAAGAAUUUACCUAGUACAUUUUCUGAGGCGAAGAAGAUCGUUGGAAAGCUUGGGCUUAGUUAUGUGAGAAUUCAUUCUUGUGAAAAUAACUGCCAGCUUUAUAGGAAAGAGAAAGCGAGUGAUGAUUUUUGUUCAGUGUGUGGAACUUCAAGGUGGAAGAACAUACCAGAUAAAACUAAUUUGACUAAGAAGGAAAGAAGGAAGGCAAUCCCAAGGAAGGUGUUAUGAUACUUUCCAAUUAAGCCAAGGCUUAAGAGGCCUUUCAUGCACAAAGAUAUAGCUACAACUUUAAGAUGGCAUGACGAAGAGCGCACAAAGGAUGGAGCAUCACGUCAUAUAGCUGAUUCAGAGGCUUGGAAGGCCAUUGAUUCUAAGUAUAAACACAUCGCGUCAGACCCCCGGAACAUGAGGUUUGGAGUAGGAGCUGAUGGGUUCAAUCCAUUUGGGAAGAUGAGUUCCAAACAUAGCUGUUGGCCCGUGGUCUUAGUGCCCUAUAAUCUUCCUCCAUGGUUAUGCAUGAAAGCCUCCUCUCUUCUGCUUACUUUGAUUAUUCCAGGUUACCCUGGAAAGAACUUCCAUGUAUUCAUGGAACCAGUUUAUGAGGAACUAGCUGAGUUGUUUGAAGUUGGAAUGUUAACAUAUGAUGCAUCUCGAGAUGAGACGUUCCAACUUUAUGCGGUUGUGUUGUGUAUUGUGAGUGACUACCCUGGGCUUGCAAUUGCUUCAGGACAUAGCACCAGUUUUGAGUCUGGUUGUUUCCCGUGUAGUGAUGAAACUUGGUCUUUACGCUUGAAACAUGGGAGGAAGUUCUGUUUCAUGGGACAUCGCCGAUUUCUGCACCCAGACCAUGAGUUCCGCUAUGAAUCUGACUUGUUUGAUGGAUUGGAGGAACACAAAACAGAACCAACUCUUUAUUGUAAAGUUGGAGUUUUAGAUAAGAUAAAAUCAAUUAAGAACUUCGAUGAUUCCAAAACUUGGAAGUUUGUUAACGGGUUUUUCUCUCAUUUGACUUAUUGGGACUACAAUUUGCUCCGCCACAAUCUAGAUAUUAUGCACAUUGAAAAGAAUGUAUGUGAAUAUAUAUAUGGGACACUUCUAGGAAUAGAGGGCAAGUCAAAGGAUAAUUUAAAGGCACGACUUGACCUGCAGGACAUGAAAAUCAGGCCAGAGCUACAUCCUCAAAAAAAAACAAUGACAAGUAUUUUCUUCCUCCUGCUUCGUAUACGUUGUCAAAGAAACAGAAGCAGCAGUUUUGCAAAGUACUUCAUGAUAUAAGAGUACUAGAUGGGUAUUCGGGGAACAUCUCAAGAUGUGUAAAUGUUUCUGAAGGGAGAAUUUCAGGCCUUAAAAGCCAUGAUUGUGAUAUUCUGAUGCAACAACUAUUGCCUGUUGCAUUGAGAGGCUUACUUCCAGAUAAUGUCACAUCUGUCUUGUUUGAUCUAUGUGCAUAUUUUAGAGAAGUUAGUGCAAAGGUUCUGCAUGUGAGAGAUCUUGAGAAGUUAGAGCAAAGAAUAAAGAUAACAUUAUGCCGUAUUGAGAUGAUAUUUCCGCCCGGAUUUUUUACUGAUAUGGUGCAUUUGGUUCUUCAUCUAGCAACAGAUGCAAAAAUAGGUGGCCCUGUGGCCUACCGUUCAAUGUGGUUUUUGGAAAGGUAUUUUGUCAAAAAUGAGACAUAUAUAUUUUCUAAUUAUUACAGUACUACAUUCAUUAACAUUUUUUGUCUUCUUUUUUCAUUUUUUAUUUAUGCAGGCAUCUCUGUGUCCUGAAGUCAUAUGUGCGUAACAGAGCACAUCCAGAAGGAUCUAUCGCUGAAGCACAUCUUGCAGACAAGUGCAUGACGUUUUGCUCAAGAUAUAUUGAUGGUUUCGCCACCAAGCAUAAUCGGCCUUCAAGGAAUGACGAUGAUGAUGAGGCGGUUGAUGUUGAACAAGGAUCAACUCUGUUUCCUUCGGUAGGAAAACCACUUGGAAAGCCUGGCAAUUAUGUUCUUAGAGGGAUGACUAAAUUCCAAGCACAUAGAUAUGUGUUGUUCAAUUUCUCAGAUGUCAACCCAUUCCUUCGGUAAUACGUCAAUCCUCUAAAUAAUAUCAGUUUUUUUUACAUGUUUUCACAACUCUUUCUCUGGCUUCAAAACUAAUUAUAAAAUUACUUUGCAGAGCUCACGCUGAUGAGAUCACUAGCGAGCGUGGUGUCUCAAACAUGGUCGAGUCCAUCCAACAUGAUAAGUUCAACGACUGGUUCAAAGCUCAUGUAAGUCCGUAUUUCAUAUUCUUUGUAUGUACAACUGAAGCCAUUUACUAACAACUUCUUAAUCUACAGAUAAUUAAAUUGGAGAAGGAAAAUGGUAUUGGUAGUAUUAAUAAUGAUAUUAGAUGGCUAGCACGUGGCCCAGUAGAUGCAGCAAGAAGGUACCGCGCUUACAACUCCAGAGGAUAUCGGUUUAGGCCUAAACGGUUAGACAGGGUGAGUCAAAAUAGUGGAGUGGUGGUACAUGCCAAAACAUCUACAUAUGCUGCACCAGGUGAUGCGACCCCUGUUUUAGGUGAUGUGACUUACUAUGGCAGGAUAAUUGAUAUUAUUCAGUUGAACUACUCUGGACAAUUUUCGGUGGAUUUAUUUAAGUGUGAAUGGGUUGAUAUUUCUGAAAAAGGAAUUGAGAAGGACAAGUAUCACUACUAGGAAAAGGGCUAUAGAUGGAAUUGACACUAAUGGUGCACCAGACAUGUGGUACGCCAUUAGUAUAUACUAAUGGCGCACCACCUUCUGAUGCGCCAUUAGUGUUGAAACUACUAAUGGCGCAUCCUGCCCACGGUGCGCCAUUAGUACCAAUUUUUUUUUGAACUAGUGCGCCUGUCCAAACAUACUAAUGGCGCACUUGAGUUGUAACUAGUAAUUGCGCACCAGCCAGAAGGUGCGCCACUAAUGUUAUUUUUUUAUUAUUGUUUUUAUUCCUUUUUUUGCAAAAGUACUAAUGGCGCACUCGCACGCGGUGCGCCAUUACUAGUUCAAACUAGUAAUGGCGCACCGUGGCAGAGUGCGCCAUUAGUGUGUUUUUUUUUUGCAAAACUACUAAUGGCGCACCAUCAGGGGGUGCGCCAUUAGUAACCUGGAUUACUAAUGGCGCAUUUGUUGCUGGUGCGCCAUUAGUAAGUGGGCAGCAACAAGAUAUUUUGGACAGCCUCUCCUCCCACACUCACUUUCUCCCCACUUCAUUCUCUCCACCGCCUCCUCCUUGUCUCGGGUGCCUUCUCUUUUUCACCUCAUUUCCACCAUAGAUUCAUUCAAAUUAAGUAGUUAAGUUACCUUGUUUUGCUAGGUAAGUAAGGGGGGAAGCUAUAUUUAUGUUGUUCUCCCUACAACAAUGUGCACAUGCACUUUUUAUGGCCUAGCUAGAUCUAUGUAUGUUCGUGGUGUUGCAUAUGUUUGUGGUGUAGCAUAUGUGUUUGUGUUUGGAGGUGUACCGGUAUUUGAAAUGCGAUAGUUGCCAAUAUUUUGCCGGAAUGUUGAUUCAUUUCCGUUUCGGCGAGAAUUUUGGCAUUAAGCAUUCUUUUUGGUCCUAUUUUUAGGGAACGUCAUGCCAAAUUUUUUCUUGGUUCUAAAAUAUCGUUUUGCUCUACCCCGCAGGCGACCAUGGUCCGCACGAUGACCGAAGGCAUCGUGAAUAGGUUUUUGAGGUCCGCGAAGGCCGAGAUGCUUCAAAAGAACGAGACGGAGAUAAGAUGUCCGUGUCGAAGAUGCAAGCUGAAUAGCCUUAUUGCGGACCCGGAUUCCGGGCAGGUGCGGGACCACCUGCUCUUGCGUGGUUUCAUGGAUGGCUAUCGGUGGCAAGGUGAUGAAGAUGACUACGAAGUCGUCCAUGGGGGCCGGGCAAGAAAUGAGGAAGGGCAGCAAGACAACCACCACGGCUCGGGGGGGGCGAGAAGACGAAGAAUCCCCAGGAGAUGAUCACGACGGUGAUGCUGUACACAGUCAUCAUGUAGAAGAUGCAGGACAUGAUGAUGAUGCCGGCGGAGCAGACGACGCUGGACCAUCGAUGGGCUGGGUGCAGGACCCUCAUAUUCAAGAGCUGCUUCGCAAGCAGACGGAUAACGCAAGAGAUGCCGCCCGAGAGAAAGCCAAGAUGGAUCAACUUGAGUUAGACGCGGUUACUCCAUUGUAUGAAGGAUGCAGGCCCGAGGAUACCCGCCUGAAAGUAACGCUCAUGGCUCUGGAGAUGAAGGUAAAACACAAAAUGACCGACGCAUGCUUCGACGAGAACAUGUCAUUCUGGCACGAACGUCUUCCCAAGGGGAACAAGUGCCCGACCAGUUUGGAGGAGGCGAAGAAAAUCGUGUGUCCUCUGGAUUUACCGCACGUGAAAUACCAUGUGUGCAUGAACAAUUGCAUCAUUUAUCGGGACGAGCACGUGGAGUCUACCAUAUGUCCAGUGUGCGGUGUCACUCGAUACAAGAAGAGGAAGAAAGCUCCUCGAAAAGUGGUGUGGUACUUUCCGAUCACUCCUCGUCUGCAGCGGUAUUUCACGGAUCCUAAGGUAGCAAAGCUCCUGCGUUGGCACGCGGAUAGGGAGGAGAAGAAGCGAGAAGAUGACGCAAAUGAUCCGGAGAUAGAUAAAAAAGACAAGAUGCUGAGUCACCCUAAGGAUGCGAGCCAGUGGCAAGCGUUGAACUUCGAAUACCCAGAAUUUGGGAACGAUCCAAGGAACAUCGUGCUGGGCGCGAGCACCGAUGGAGUCAAUCCGUUUGGCAGCCAGAGAAGCACACAUAGCACCUGGCCUGUGUUUGUGUGGAUGUACAACCUUCCCCCCUGGUUGUGCAUGAAGAGAAAGUACAUUUACAUGAGUAUGCUAAUUGAAGGGCCGAAACAACCAGGGAACAACAUCAAUCUGUAUCUGGGGCUGCUGAAAGAGGAGCUUGACACGCUGUGGAAAACGCCAGCCAAUACGUGGGACGCCGCAGAGAAAGAAUAUUUCCCUAUGAGAGCCGCACUGCUCACGACGGUGCACGACUAUCUCGGUUACGGAUAUCUUGCGGGGCAGGUAGUCCACGGAUUUUCUGGAUGCGUAAGGUGCAUGGAUGACACAACGUAUCGCCAGCUAGAUAGAGAUCCCGGGUCUUCGAAAACCGUGUUCAUGGGACAUCGAAGGUGGCUUCGCGACGAUGACCCGUGGAGGAAACGCAAGGAUCUGUUCGAUGGUGAAACCGAACCCCGAAAACGCCCGUGUACGAGGAGCGGCGAGGAAAUAGACAAGCUGUUGAAAAAUUGGAAAGACUGCCCACUGCCGGGAAAGAAGCAAAAGGCGCCAGAGCCGGGAAAGAAGCGAAAGGCGCCAGAGCCGCUGCUGAAGGUAUGGAAAACGAGGUCUGUUUUCUGGGACUUGCCGUACUGGAAGAUCCACCGUGUGCCUCACAGCCUUGAUGUCAUGCAUAUCACGAAGAACGUGUGCGAGAGUCUGCUUGGUACCCUGCUCAACAUGCCAGAGAUGAACAAAGAUGGGCCGAAAGCAAGGGCAGACUUGAAAUCAAUGGGCAUCAGGCAGGAGCUUCACGCUAUAUAUGAUGAUGAUGAUGAUGAUGAUGAUGAUGAUGAUGAUGAUGAUGAUGAUGAUGAUGAUGAUGAUGAUGAUGAUGAUGAUGAGGCGAAGCAGGACACAGAAAGUCGUCGCAAAGGCAAAAAGGCCAAGAAGACCGGAAAUGACUACCCUCCCGCGUGCUUCACUCUAAGUCAGGAGGAGAUCGAGCAGUUUUUCACCUGCCUCCUAGGAGUAAAACUUCCUUACGGUUACGCGGGGAAGAUAAGCAGAUACCUAGACCCAGCGAAGCAGAAGUUCAGCGGGAUGAAGUCUCACGACUGUCACGUGCUGAUGAUGCAGAUACUUCCAGUUGCAAUCCGUGGGAUCAUGGACGCGCACGUCCGUGAAACGCUAUUUGGCCUAUGCAACUUCUUCGACGUCAUCUCUCGGAAGUCGAUUGGCGUGAGGCAACUCAGAAGGCUACAGGAAGAGAUCGUGGUGAUACUAUGCGAGCUUGAGAUGUACUUCCCGCCCGCAUUCUUCGAUGUUAUGGUGCAUCUGCUGGUCCAUAUAGUGGAGGAUAUCAUCCAACUCGGGCCGACGUUCCUGCACAGCAUGAUGCCGUUCGAAAGGAUGAAUGGUGUCAUCAAAGGAUACGUUCGCAACAUGUCACGUCCAGAAGGAAGCAUAGCCAGGGGCUUUCUGACCGAAGAGUGCAUCUCCUACUGCACGAAUUAUCUAGGCAUCGAGAACCCCGUUGGUCUGCCCGUCAACAGGCACCUCGGCAGGCUCGCUGGAUGGGGUCACCGUGAGGGUCGCCGUGAAAUGCAUGUCUACUUCGAGGGUCGACUCGCCAACUUUGAAAGAGCAAACCUAGUCGCGCUACAACACAUAGACGUGGUCGAUCCAUGGGUGGUAGAGCACAAAACCUUUAUUAAGAAGACGUACAAUGACCGAGGCCAACAGAGGACGGACGGAGAUAUACUCAAAGAGCACAACUCAUGUUUCACGCGUUGGUUCAAGCAGAAGCUUCUGUCGUACCCUUUACAUGAGGAUUCUUCCGCGGAAGAACAACUCAUAAUCGCCUUGUCACAGGGCGCCGAGCACAACCUGAUGACCUAUGAGGCAUACGAUAUCAACGGCUACACAUUCUACACCGAGGCCAAGGACAUGAAGAGCGAUGGUUAUCAGAACUCCAGGGUAACGCUGGAAUCCUACACCGGUAACGACAAGGACAGGUACUACGGAAGGAUCGAGGAGAUCUGGGAGCUGAGCUACGCUGGAGAGAAGGUCCCGAUGUUCCGUGUCAGAUGGGCCAAGAACGUCAUAAAAGAAGACCGGUAUUUCACCACCAUGGUUAUACCCGAAGCCAAAUCCAAGACCGCGGGCGCAAACGUCACCGCGAAAAAUGAGCCAUGGGUACUGGCUUCCCAAGUGGACCAAUGCUUCUUCAUUACCGACCCGCCAAAGCCCAGUCAUGUUGUCGUGAGGAGAGGUAAAAGGAAGAUCAUCGGAAUGGAUGGAGUAGCCAAUGAGUAAGACUUCGACAAGUACGGCGACCCGAGGAUCGAACAUGACGACGAUGAUGAAGUAGCAGCAUACACCACAAGAAGAAGCAGGACCACCCUACCUAAAGGACGUCCGUUCCACAGAAGAACUCCAUUUGCGAAAAAGAAGGGCAAGAAGAUUGUGAACAGAUAGCUAGCUAAGAUCGAUUGUAUUUAAAUCGUAGCCUUCAUUUCUCGAUUGUAUUUCAUGGGUACUUUUUGAACUAUCAUGAAUAUUUUUAAAUUUCAUGGACACUCGAUCUCGAUCCCCCUCCAUCUCGAUCGCUAUCCCACCUCGCCAGAUCCGGUCCCCCUCGCCGCCGAGCACCCCCCAGUCCACCGGCCACCGCCGCCGACCCCCGCACCCUCGAUUCCCCUACUCAACCGCCGCCGCCGACCCCCCGCACCCCGCGCACCAUCUUAUAAAAAAAUAAGUAUCAAAUAGCUUUUUAAAUGCUACUGUCUUAUAAAAAAUAUUACUGUUAUUAUUUAAACAAGUUUGAACAUAUUUAAACACAAAUAAGUAUCAAACAGCUUUUUAAAUGCUAAAAAAAAUUUGUGGAGCCUGGGAGUUGAACCCAGGACCUCCUAGUGUGAGAACUAGCUGUUGACCAGUCGAGCUAGUAGAGGGGGCUUGAUGUGGAUCAGUUCUGGUGGUACAUAACCUGUUGGCUCGAGUUGAAAUAAAAAAAUACUAAUGGCGCACCACGGUGAGGUGCGCCAUUAGUAUUGUGCCCGAUACCCCCUUCCCUCUCCCCCUUCCCUCUCCCCCUCGCCAGUUCCCUCUCCCUCUCGAUCCACCGCCGCUGCCGCCGCUGCCCUGACCCACUGCUCGCCCUUGCCCUCGCCCUCUCCCUCCCUCGCCCUCUCCUCGCCUUCCCUCUCCCUCGCCCUCUCCCCGCCUUCCCUCNNNNNNNNNNNNNNNNNNNNNNNNNNNNNNNNNNNNNNNNNNNNNNNNNNNNNNNNNNNNNNNNNNNNNNNNNNNNNNNNNNNNNNNNNNNNNNNNNNNNNNNNNNNNNNNNNNNNNNNNNNNNNNNNNNNNNNNNNNNNNNNNNNNNNNNNNNNNNNNNNNNNNNNNNNNNNNNNNNNNNNNNNNNNNNNNNNNNNNNNNNNNNNNNNNNNNNNNNNNNNNNNNNNNNNNNNNNNNNNNNNNNNNNNNNNNNNNNNNNNNNNNNNNNNNNNNNNNNNNNNNNNNNNNNNNNNNNNNNNNNNNNNNNNNNNNNNNNNNNNNNNNNNNNNNNNNNNNNNNNNNNNNNNNNNNNNNNNNNNNNNNNNNNNNNNNNNNNNNNNNNNNNNNNNNNNNNNNNNNNNNNNNNNNNNNNNNNNNNNNNNNNNNNNNNNNNNNNNNNNNNNNNNNNNNNNNNNNNNNNNNNNNNNNNNNNNNNNNNNNNNNNNNNNNNNNNNNNNNNNNNNNNNNNNNNNNNNNNNNNNNNNNNNNNUGUACUUUUAGUGUAAUUACUGUGCAUUUUCAGUGAAAUUUACACUGUAAUUGUUAGUGGAAUUUACACUGUAAAUGUUAGUGGGUUUACAGUGUACUUCUAGUGGAUUUUUGCUCUGUAUUUGCAAGUGGCAUUUUUAGUGGAAUUACUGUGUAUUUCCAUGGUUUUUACACUGUAAUUAUUAGUGUAAGAUAUUGUUGCAAUUAAAUUUAGAAAUGGCAGCUCUUGGUGGCUUGGUGUACCUGUAUUUUCUCUCUGAAAAUUCUCUAAACAAGAAUUGCAAUUUGAUUUUGGCCCUGGUACAUGUAGUAGUAGUAAUGUUUGAGGGUUGCAUGCUUCGGUGCUAAAUUUGCAUCAGCGGUUGACUUUUCUUGAGUGAUUAUAACUUGUGGAAUAUGCUGUCUCAAACUAUGGAACAUGAGAUCUGCGUUUAGGAGCAGCCAAGGUGGUUUCUUUUUGUUGCACACUCCAGUUUGAUUCUUGUGUGUAUCACACUGGUUCAUAGUCUGGAACAUUCAGUCUUGCUUGCUCUAUGUUUGUUCGAUGUCCAGGGGCCCAAUUACAGUUAAGUUGUGGAUACAACACCUAUUUCACCAACAACAGAGAACACAACAACACAAUUAGGGCUCACAGUAAAGCAAUUGCAGUUUCUUGCUAACAACAACACAAUCACAGAGAACACAACAACACCUAUUACUGAAUUAAUCUUGCACUGUCGUACUAACAGCCAACAGUAUUUCUAUCUAGUGAAGACUAAAGUUGCAUCAUCAGCAGCUUCAUAUAGAAGAUAAUGAUUCCUGUUUUUUAGUCUACUGUAAUUGUUUUUUAGCCCACAGCACUUUGCAUUGUUUUGAGGUUUUGUACAUCAGCUUUCUUGCUAAUCCAGCCCACGCGGCUGCUGUACUACUUGUCAAGUGAUGCUGCUGCUGCUAUCUGCGAGUUGUUGCUGCUAGUUGUGAUUUUGUCAAGUGAUGCUGCUGCUACUUGUGAUCUUCUAAAAUAACCCCUUUCUCCUGAAACGUUGAUUAAUUUCCGUUUCGGUUGAGAAAUGGGGCACUCCUAGGUCAAGAAAAUUAGCAAAGGUCAUGCCCAAUUUUCUUGACGUAGAAGGUGCCCGAUUCUCAACCGAAAUAAAAAUUAAUUUGCUUUAGUGGUUGGAUUAGUUUAGUAUUUUAUUCACACACUCAGACACCCUUGCUUGCCAUGUGUGAUAGAGAGAUAGUGAGAGGAGACAAUAAGCUAUCUGCAGCUUAAUUUGCAUUGCAUACUAGCUAGAUAGCUUUUGUUUUUCAGGACCAACCGAACAAUACAUACAUAUACCUGUAGGCACCAGCUUAAUUUCCAAGGCAGGACAAUUACUUGCUUCAUUAUAUUCAUCCAUCCAUCCAUUUUGCAUCAUGUACAGAACCAAAAAUAAUCGGAGUUUCUGUCUGGCUUCAGAAGUCAUAACACAUGCAUUUGGGUAACCCUAAAUGUCAAAAUUGCACAAGUCUAGACCCCUUUAUGCCAUAUACUUUCUAUUUUUCUUCAUCGGAGUUCGACUGCGCAUUAACCCAACGUGUGCAUGACUCGAUGGUCCAGGAAGGAAAUCGUUUCCUUUCAUCAGCUAGAAAAACUGCCAACGUUUCAAAACUGCAACUUGAUGAAGAUUGGAGUAUAUCUUAAUAAGUUUACCCUGUUGGGGCACAUCACAUACACACAUUUGCUCAAGUCCACUCUGGCCCAUGUAGAGCUGAAACCCAGUUUAGUUCCUUGUAUCACUUGUCGCUGUAAACCGUUUGAUUGUUUUCACGGAAAUGAUUUACAAGUUCAGCAAGUGAUGAGCUGUGAGAAUAACAUAUUCAUUAGGGUAGGCGUCUCCUGCCCUAUGCUGAAUGUGGUGCAAUUUUCGACGCAGAUUCAUAAUUUGCAGCUUAGCUUAUCUCUUGGCCCUCCAAUUAAAAUAUAGGGGUUGACCUUCACCACGGCCGAAGCUUCUCUGCAUCUAUAUAUAAUGGACAUUCCCUAGCUUCUGAACAAUCAACACAAAGCAGCAGGACUGAGUGUCUCCAAUAGUCAUCCUUGUGUUUGUGUAGGUUUUCUUUCCUUGGUCCAUUGAGCCUUCAUUCAUGGUUAUGAAUGAUAUGCAAUGAUCAGCCUGCUAGCGUUUAUCCUCUCCGCGUGUUUGAACACCCGGCGGUGUAGUAAAAAGUAAUUACAGAUACACUCACCCACAUAAGUAUUCAACACAAUGAAAAAAUAGUACAAAUUAAGGAAAGGCAAUACCAUUUCAGACGCUUGUCUUCUAAAAAGAAGAGUGAACUUUCUAGACACACCCCUCAAGAACUAGGUUACCCUGAGAACGUGCACUUGCACCUUAGCAACAACACACUAACAGGUUCUAUCCCAAAACACAUAGGCAAUAUCACAAACAUCUCUCAAUUGUUCCUUGACAAUAACCAACUUUUUGGCGACAUUCCUCGAGAAUUAGGUUAUUUGGUCAACUUAGAGAUCUUGUUCCUUGACAAUAACCAACUUUUUGACCAAACUUUGUUUCUAUUUAGAGAGAAACAUGGCCCACAACGAUGAGGCCGGGGGUUCGGGCGGCAAGGCAUUCUGGGAGCUGUCCCAGGAGAUGGAGGAACAACCUCACUUGUAUGAGGCCGCCGCCUUCCCCACCGAUCCUGAGACCACUGAUGGUGCCGCCGAGGAUGACCACACUGAUGCCACCACUGAUGGUGCCGCCGAGGAUGCCACCACUGAUGAUGGCGGCGCCCGCACAGAUGGCAGCCAACCGAAGAGGCAACGGAAGGACCGGCGCCCGAUCGUGCUCCUCACCCUCAAGGAGGAAGUUACUGAAGUGGACUCCAACGGGAAUCCAACGGCGCCCGAACGAAUAGUCAAGGGGUACUCGCUUCAGCUCGGGUGCAUUGUCCGGAGCACCGUCUCGAUCAACACCGAGAACCUGAGGCAUCCUGACCGAGGGAAUUUGCGCCACCUCCUCUUCACGAAGCUGCACGAACGAUACAAGUUCCCCGCUGAAUUUGCAAACACAAGCCUCAAAGGGAAUAAAGUGAACAAUGCUGCCCUCACGAAGAUGAGCAAGGCCCUGUCUACUUGGAAAAGCAAUGUGAAGAAAAUGAUCAAGAAAGGUGAGAGUUAUCAGAAGAUCAAGGAGAAAAAUCCUUCGAUCACCGAAGAUGACUACAACGACUUCAAGAUCAAUUGCUCGAGCACCGCAAGCUCCCAAUCAAGUGAGUGGGGGAAACAAAUGCGGGAGCUGAACAUAGGGGAACACACACUAGGUCCCGGCGGUUACAGAGUGGCGGAGCCUAUAUGGGACAAGGAGGAGGCGGACCGUGCCGAGCAAGGCCUACCGCCCCUCUUCGAGAAAUACAGCGGUAACAAGUAGACCAGGAACUUUGUCAGGGCCCGGUACAAGAAGGACCCGAAAACAAAGGAGCUUACCACGGAUCCGAAGACCAGGCAGCUUGAGCUUGUUCUGGUAAGGAAUACACCCCCGCGUAAUUAGCUCCAUAUGGUUGCAUUCUAAUUAAUGAAGCCAAAUUUCUAAAUGGUUCACAUUCCUUCCGCAGGCGACUGAAAGCAGUAGCACGGGGUCGACUAAGAGCAACCCUUGGGACACCACUCUAAAUAGGGCGUUGAAUGUAAUGAAGAACAAGGAUAAGCUCAGUAAGCCGACGUCAGCUGGUCGUGUGGCCGGCAAAGGCUUGUCGACAAAAUGGGGGUCAUACUAUACCGCUGGUGUGCGGAAGGAGAAAAAGACCAGCUCGGAAAGCCAGGCACGAGAGGUUCAAGAACUCAAGGCACAGGUGGCGCGGAUUCCGGAGAUUGUCCAAGAGCAAGUGGAACAACGACUCGGAGCGACGAUCACCGCCCUUGUGCCUACCUUGAUCUCGGGGUUGAGUGCGUGGAUUGCGGGCGGCCAACAUGGGCCGCCCCCGAUUCCUAGCUUCACGGCCAGCAACUCGCAUAAUGUGAUGGCGGGGCCAUUGGUGCCUCCGGCGGAGGCGGCAUUGGUGUCUCCGACGCCGGCACAGGAGCUUAAUGCACCCGGGUGUACGCCGGCCGGCACCUCUUCAGCAAGCGGCCCCUCCGUCAACUGCACGCCCGCCGUUGGCGGUGCGUCGACAUUAGCCGAGCUCGACACCAUCAUCACGGUAACUAAUUAAGCCUCUCUCGGCCGAGGACUUCAUCUCCUUGCCUUUGACUGGGCAUCCCUGACGCCCUACAUGUUUUCGCAGGGCGCCGCCGACGUUCCGUGCACUCUCCUCCACUUCGUGAACAACGAGUUGGUCGAUGUCGCCAAGGGAAAAAUCGUUCAACCGGGCAACCCCUUGUUCCACGGUACCCAGAUGCCACCCAACUUGUUUAGGGUUCAACUGGUUCGGGUGCUGCCAGGCUGCAACGACUUGUUACCUCCGAUUCGACCCGUCGGGGCCGACGAUGAAGACGUGAUGACCCUCAGCGCCUGCCUGAGCUGGCCCCUGCUUUGGCCGAAGAGCCAGAUUCGUUUGGGGCGGGGGACACCACCCCAAAGACAACACCGCCAGUCGUGCCGGCGCCAAGUCGGCCCCAUGGCAAGACCGCCGUAACGGUGCCGGACAUCCCUAUGCCACUGGAUCCAAACAUGCAUAUGGCACAGGAUCAGAACGACGACGACGACGACGAUGAUACAUUUGGCAACAUCGAUCAGUACUUUGCCGAUCAUAGGUACGAUGGCGACUUCAUGGGGCCUCCUUCUCAAGAACCAAACCCAACAAAAGACGUGUGCGAUCUAGCUGGUACCGCGGAGAAGCCAAGUUACAACAGGCACCGUCUGGCGUUCAGCUCUCAGGAGACGCCUCCAGCUGCCGACUUCACCGAGCCUCAUAUAGGCGAGGUGCGAAAUAUUAUCAGCCCCAACACACUCAAGAAGGCGGUCUGUGAGCAGAACUCGGUCCCAUUACAGGAGAAGAAGAAGUCACGCAAAAGAAAGACUAAGAAGGGUGCGAGCCAGCCGGCACCGAGUACGAUCCGUGCUCAGGACGGGCCACCUUCACCGCAGGAUAUCUCGGGGAGGGUGCAUGUGGCGGGUAGGGCGAUGCUACCGACAAAUAUGCUCAAUGCUGCAACCGGUGCUAUGUGGAGUCUGCAUGACAGUGUUCUUGCUUUGGAGAAGCGGCGUCUCAAAGAGAAGGAUGUGGCAUACCCGGUUUUCGCGGCCAAGGUGCCAGAGGGCAAGGGCUUUGUGGAUAACUCCAUCGGGCGUAUGAUCGUCCUGCGUUUUGAUGACAUCCAUGCUAUGUUGAACUUUCAUCCGCUGCACUACACCUUCGUUCGGCUAUUUUCGCUGAGUAUGGAGAUGCGGAUCAUUCGCGACAAGACCCCGGACAUCGUGAUAGUCGACCCCUUCUACAUGCGUGCCAAGAUCUUGGGCAGCGCUGGGGACCGGCAAGUAGCGAGUUCUUACCUCGAAGGCAUCAUUCUGGCAAACCAAGAUAAGGAUAACUUCCUCGUGCCUUACUUUCCCGAGUAAGUCCUCCCCUCAACCGGCCCGUAACAUAUGAAUUCUUACAUUUCGAUCGUUUUUCUUUUAACAUUCCGUGUUUUCUGCAGUGACACACGUUGCACGCUCAUCCUCCUAAGCCCCAAAUAUUCCAUGGCCACGUAUUUCGACCCGGACCGUCAGUCGAACGUAGACUACACAAAUGUCAAGAAGGUUCUUGAUGAUGUUCUCCCCGGCUACGCCAAAUCUGGAGGCACCUUCACCAGGCCUAUUCGUAAGUACGGCAAGCACGUGUUCUCCCACAAUACGACGUUCUGCUGCGUCAAGCAGCCGCCUGGCGGUCAGAAGGGUGCCUACUACGCCAUCCAUCACAUGCUGCGGUCGUACGGGACCAUCAUCAACUUCUGCUACCGAGUAAACUCAAAGAUUGGGCAAAGAGCGUGUCGGCAAUCUAGGACGCGGACCUCCGACAAGAAUUCUUUCGCAUCCAGUCGGAGUUUGCGGAAAUCAUCCAUCAAGAUGUCCUUCAUACCUCGGGGCAGUUCUACCUCAACAAUCAACCGUCCAACAGUGACAUCGACACAAUGCUACAAAUGCAGGCUGACAACGACCGUUAUUUCAUGACUCCCACGAUAGACGGCGGCUUCAUCCACGCUCCGGUCCCUUGAGUCGAGUCGAAAGCAGUGAUGCUGUGUCUAGUUCUGAAACAUCGAUUGGCUCAUGUUGUAAUUAAACUUUAAUGAACUUGUAGUAUGUCUCUUUGGUUUCGAGAGUCGUUCAACUUAGAUGUAAUCGAUGCUAUUAAUGUCUUGCUUUUCUCUUCCGAUCGUUCUGUUGCAUACUUAUAUAUUGCUUAUGUAUUGUCUGUGAAUUGGUACUAACGUUUCGUUUGGCUAGUGCAUAGCGAUGCCGACGUAUGUCGUGUACAAGGGUAAGGUUCCCGGAGUCUACGAUGACUGGGAGGAGUGUCGGAGACAGGUUCACCGAUUCAGCGGUAACAGUUAUAAAGGGUACACCACUAGGGCCGAGGCUGAAUCUAGAUACGCCCGCUAUCUAGCGGGAGAGGGGAGGGAGCGUUGGAGGAACCGGAUGAAGAUGAGUUUCAUCGUGAUGAUGCUCAUCGUGAUGACCGCAGCUCUCUUCUAUGUGAUGGUAGUUUAGAUGAUCGAUAUCGACUUGUAAUGUGAAGACAAACUCGCUAAUCGCGGUCUCGAGACUUGUAAUAUAAUGUUCUAUCUUUGUUCGGUCUUUUCAAUUCGGAGACUUAUAUGAUGAAUUGUAUUCAGAGACUAAUAUGAUGAAUUGUAUUCAAAGACUAAUCUUCUAUUGUAUUCGAUGAAUCUGUUGUUGAUGUGUGCUGUCUAUAUUUUGUCAAAUUAUACAUUUUGUAACCUGUGCAAAAAAAAGAAAAUAAAAAACAAAAAAAACCUAAUAUUCAUACUAAUGGCGCAUCACAUGACAGUGCGCCAUUAGUAUGACAGUGCAUACUAAUGGCGCAUCACUGGGUAGUGCGCCAUUAGUAUGCCGCGGUUACUAAUGGCGCAUCCAGUGGUGGUGCGCCAUUAGUAUGCCAAAGCACCUGGAUAUACAUGGCCCCUGGGAGGCAUACUAAUGGCGCACCCUGGCCUAUACUAAUGGCGCACCCGCGGUGCGCCAUUAGUAUACCAGAUACUAAUGGCGCACCAGGUGGUGCGCCAUUAGUAAAAAUUACUAAUGGCGUGCUAUUAAUGGCGCACCACAGAUGCGCCAUUAAUGGCCAUACUAGGUGCGCCAUUAGUAGGGGUUUUUCUAGUAGUGUAUGGCUACACACUUGUUAACUUCUCACGUUUGAUGCACAAAGGAUACAAGAUUGAGCAUGAGCCUUUUAUUUUGCCUAACCAAGCCGAUCAAGUGUUUUACCUAGAAGACGAAUUGAACCCAGGUUGGUCAGUGGUGAUGCAGAAUAAACUACCUAGAGAUAGAUGUGACACUGGAAAUGAUGAAUGCACACGAGACGUAGAAGCUGAGCCAUUCCAUGUUUCUCACCUCACGGAUAUGUUUAAAGCGAAAAGGAAAGAUCAACAUUGGGUAAGGCCUGAUAUUGAGGGAACAAUUGUGGAUGCUAAUGAUAAUUCUUUGAUCGAUGAGGAACGGUGAUGGUACAUCAUAUAAAGGUAUUUCUCUGUUCAAGCAACAUUUUCUUGAUUAUAUAUACAUUGUAGUUUUAGCUAAAAUCAAAGCUGAGUUUGCAGGACAUUAAUAACCAUUGUAUGUUCUUGCAGAUCGUUGGCUGAGCUUACACCCUUCAAAAAAUUCGAAGGAAUGAGGUCUUUCACUCAACAUAUAAACCCAAUUUUUCUUUUUCUUUAUUGCUUUUCAGUUUCUCGUCCUAUUUUCCAUAGAUGCUGCCAUUGUGGAUCCCUAUAUGCAUUGAAUUGAACUUGACUCUUUUUGAUUUGUUAUGAACUUUUUCUCAUGCGCUUCAGUGAAUCUUCUUUUUCAGAAAAAAUUGCAAGUCAAGAUUACAAGGAUUGUUCUAAACUGCUGGAUGAAGCAAUGUGUUCUUUUAGCGGGCUUUUAUAUGUUUGCAUAGUUUUUGCUCUUCAAACAUCAAGCUUGGAAAAAUUCAGAAAAUUGUUACUAAAGUUAAGCUUUAUGUACGACAUAUUGUCAUUGGAAAUAGAUACACUUUUGUCGAAGAAGUAUUAUGUCA